This is a long non-coding RNA of Amphibalanus amphitrite, 954 nucleotides long. RefSeq lists it as uncharacterized. The record is from RefSeq and is a predicted model, not a curated record. The transcript is spliced from 2 exons. Lineage: Eukaryota; Metazoa; Arthropoda; Thecostraca; Balanomorpha; Balanidae.
AGAGGAAGAUGAGUCAAGGCAGGUGCAAGAAGAAGGAGAACAAGCAGCUCCCAAAGACUCAUCACUCCAAGCAGAAGAAUGCCUGCAUUCAGAUGCAUCUGUACAGACGAAGUGUGAGCCUUCAAAGUGUACCAGACGGACGCCGUGCCUGACGUCUCGCAGCCGGAGCCCGACGCCGUGCCUGCGGCGCAGCCGGAGCUCGACGAGGAGCCGCCGCCGCCUCCGCAGCUGCUGGAGCUGGAGGAGGUUUGCCCCGCGCCCACGGAGGAGAUCCCGGAGGGGACUGAACACCUGGUGCAGGAGCCGGACGACGAGCCGUCGCCGGAUGCUGAGGAGGAGGCAGAACGGGAGCUUCUGGACGCCGAGCUCGGAGAGGCGUGCCAUGACACGGGUGAACCUGAACAGGUAAUGGAGCCACGUGAACCAGACUAGCGAGCUGGUCUCCCUGCUGGCAGAGGCAGGUUCAGUCCACAUCCCGGGUCAGCCGUCUGGUGCCCGUGAUUGUGAAACCGGAGUGCUGGCGUCCGACAGUGCUCUGGCUCACGUCGCAGGUUACGUUGCGCGAAAGCGCCCGCGAUCCCUCGGCGCACCCUCCGCCCAUGCCGAGGACGUCCCUGUCCAGGCACUGUGGACGCGGCUGCGCAGUGUUGGAGGCAUGACUGUUCCCACCGAGUCUUUCUUGGAACUGUGCAGGGAGCUCGAGACCUGUUUCUGUGCCUACCACGCGAUGCACCCCGAUGAGCUCAGUCGAGAGCGCGGCGUCAUCCGCAACGCCACCCGUAUGAUGGCCGAGAAAUAUUCGCGGGGCGUGCAGUGUGACAAAAUCCUGAAAGUGUUCGUUCGUGUGCGAACCUUUAUCCGCCUGCGAACAGCGAACUCGACUCGACGUGCGGAGACGCUGGCUAAGCGGAAGGUGCGGAAGCUGCGUCACCACGCACAAUAAACAGAUUGGCA